Long non-coding RNA from Cuculus canorus (common cuckoo), 475 nucleotides. RefSeq lists it as uncharacterized. The record is from RefSeq and is a predicted model, not a curated record. NCBI's taxonomy places the organism in Eukaryota, Metazoa, Chordata, Aves, Cuculiformes, Cuculidae. The transcript is spliced from 4 exons.
GGAAAAAGGUGACCCUCCCAUUGCUGCCGCCGUUGCCCACCCGCCUCACUGCAAGCUCCACCACCAAUCCCCAAACCAAGGAGACGCAGCAGCACAGCAACAGGGAGCCAUCAGCUGAGUGCAGGUUCCUCAGCGAGGCACGGAGCAGCGGAGGCCUGCACGUUACCACCUACCCACUGCCGCAAUACCCGUUCCUCCAGCCCAAGCCACCCAGCACCCCGCCGCCGAGCCAGCAGGAGGUGACAGCAAGAGUGGGCAAGGACGGCUGUGUCUCCCGAGGCUGGUGGAAGAGACGGUAGCCUGCUCUGGCGGGCAAGGAAGGUUCUGCCGCCUCAACAGAGGAUGAGCCAGCACCUUCUCACAGACACCUCUCCUGGACACCAGAGAACCUCCGGCCGUAACCCAGCACCCAACAGCUGGGCAGCACGGGCAGCAACAGAUGCUGGGAGAAAAGCGACUUUCUGAUUUUAGUCGG